UACGUAGGGUGCAGGCGUUAAUCGGAAUUACUGGGCGUAAAGCGUGCGCAGGCGGUUUCUUAAGUCAGAUGUGAAAGCCCCGGGCUUAACCUGGGAACUGCGUUUGAAACUGGGAGACUUGAGUGUGGCAGAGGGGGGUGGAAUUCCACGUGUAGCGGUGAAAUGCGUAGAUAUUGGGAAGAACACCGGUGGCGAAGGCGGCUAUCUGGACCGACAUUGACGCUGAGGCGCGAAAGCGUGGGGAGCAAACAGG
This 253-nucleotide ribosomal RNA is filed under the name uncultured bacterium. Its description in RNAcentral is "partial 16S ribosomal RNA". It matches the Rfam family "Bacterial small subunit ribosomal RNA", at positions 524 to 776 of the family's 1533-position model. The record is from RNAcentral.